This 251-nucleotide unclassified non-coding RNA is filed under the name uncultured Pyrenochaeta. Its description in RNAcentral is "sequence contains ITS2". The record is from RNAcentral. Lineage: Eukaryota; Fungi; Ascomycota; Dothideomycetes; Pleosporales; Pleosporaceae.
AACGCACAUUGCGCCCCUUGGUAUUCCAUGGGGCAUGCCUGUUCGAGCGUCAUUUGCACCCUCAAGCUUUGCUUGGUGAUGGGUGUUUGUUCCGCUGCAACGCGUGAACUCGCCUCAAAUCAAUUGGCAGCCGGCAAUCUGGUGUUUGAGCGCAGCACAUUUUGCGCUCUUCGCUGUGUAUUGCGGGCGUCCAUGAAGCCUAUAUUUUCGCGCUUGACCUCGGAUCAGGUAGGGAUACCCGCUGAACUUAA